UGGAUGUAAAGAGCUGUAGUACACCUUUGGACUAGCACUUCAUGAGCAAGUUCUUUUUCACCAUUUGGAUCGUGUUUGCGCAGGAAAUAACUGAGUGCUGCAUGGCAAGCCCUUUAAACAUUUAAUAGAUUUCACUUGACCAUCUAAGAUUUAAUUGUAGACAUCUAUAAUUAAAUCAGUGUUUUGACCAAAGGCAUUGUCGGUGUCUUGCCGCAGACUGUCAGAUCACCUGCUAGGCAUCAAACGCACCUCGAAGGUCAGAGGGUAGCAUGGCGGAGUGUUUCUGUCCGAGUUGGACCAGUUCUGUGAAGGAUUUACUCUCCGAUGAGGACACAGUGCACUGCUUUACUUCAACAAGGUGAGCCAGGUUCUUAAAUUGGAUAUACCUCUGUUCUUCUACAUCUGGAUCAUCCAUCUGAAGUUCCUUCCUCAUGGUGCCCUCUAUUUCUGCUGCCAGAGAGUCCUGGAGAAGAAGCAAAAAAACAAAACAAAGUUUAAGGUUUGUACCAUCUUGGCCUUCUUCUGGAGAUCUACAAUCUGGGAGAGGAGGUGUGUGAUCUCCUCCUGCUGUCUGGAGGCGUCUUCAGUCCUCCUAGCCAGCUCUUCAGCCAGAGAGGAAAUCUGCACGUUGGCAUCACCUGGAAAACAUCGACAGGUGUUCAUCAAAAGUGAGAAUCUGCAAAGAAAACAGUCUCUCGAAACAAAUAAAACAUUGAGCAUAAUAUGACUUCUCUAA
This is a long non-coding RNA of Perca flavescens (yellow perch), 736 nucleotides long. RefSeq lists it as uncharacterized. The record is from RefSeq and is a predicted model, not a curated record. NCBI's taxonomy places the organism in Eukaryota, Metazoa, Chordata, Actinopteri, Perciformes, Percidae. The transcript is spliced from 3 exons.